GACGAACGCUGGCGGCGUGCCUAAUACAUGCAAGUAGAACGCUGAAGAGAGGAGCUUGCUCUUCUUGGAUGAGUUGCGAACGGGUGAGUAACGCGUAGGUAACCUGCCUUGUAGCGGGUGAUAACUAUUGGAAACGAUAGCUAAUACCGCAUAACAAUGGAUGACACAUGUCAUUUAUUUGAAAGGGGCAAUUGCUCCACUACAAGAUGGACCUGCGUUGUAUUAGCUAGUAGGUGAGGUAAUGGCUCACCUAGGCGACGAUACAUAGCCGACCUGAGAGGGUGAUCGGCCACACUGGGACUGAGACACGGCCCAGACUCCUACGGGAGGCAGCAGUAGGGAAUCUUCGGCAAUGGGGGCAACCCUGACCGAGCAACGCCGCGUGAGUGAAGAAGGUUUUCGGAUCGUAAAGCUCUGUUGUAAGUCAAGAACGGGUGUGAGAGUGGAAAGUUCACACUGUGACGGUAGCUUACCAGAAAGGGACGGCUAACUACGUG
This 497-nucleotide ribosomal RNA is filed under the name uncultured bacterium. RNAcentral's name for it is "partial 16S ribosomal RNA". It matches the Rfam family "Bacterial small subunit ribosomal RNA", at positions 28 to 507 of the family's 1533-position model. The record is from RNAcentral.